UCAGUGAGAGGAACCAGGUAACUAGGUAGAUCAGUGAGAGGAACCAGGUAACUAGGUAGAUCAGUGAGAGGAACCAGGUAACUAGGUAGGUCAGUGAGAGGAACCAGGUAACUAGGUAGAUCAGUGAGAGGAACCAGGUAACUAGGUAGAUCAGUGAGAGGAACCAGGUAACUAGGUAGAUCAGUGAGAGGAACCAGGUAACUAGGUAGGUCAGUGAGAGGAACCAGGUAACUAGGUAGAUCAGUGA
Long non-coding RNA from Salvelinus fontinalis (brook trout), 247 nucleotides. RefSeq lists it as uncharacterized. The transcript has 3 exons. NCBI's taxonomy places the organism in Eukaryota, Metazoa, Chordata, Actinopteri, Salmoniformes, Salmonidae. The record is from RefSeq and is a predicted model, not a curated record.